RNAcentral lists this non-coding RNA (58 nucleotides) under Thioclava sp. SK-1. RNAcentral describes it as "sul1 RNA". It matches the Rfam family "sul1 RNA". The record is from Rfam by way of RNAcentral. Lineage: Bacteria; Pseudomonadati; Pseudomonadota; Alphaproteobacteria; Rhodobacterales; Paracoccaceae.
CAAGGUUCUGGGUGUGACUCCCAGAAGGCUAGUCCGGCCGCCGAUCCGCCGGAAAACC